RNAcentral lists this ribosomal RNA (274 nucleotides) under uncultured bacterium. RNAcentral's name for it is "partial 16S ribosomal RNA". It matches the Rfam family "Bacterial small subunit ribosomal RNA", at positions 523 to 796 of the family's 1533-position model. The record is from RNAcentral.
AUACGGAGGGGGUUAGCGUUGUUCGGAAUUACUGGGCGUAAAGCGUACGUAGGCGGACUGGAAAGUUGGGGGUGAAAUCCCGGGGCUCAACCCCGGAACUGCCUCCAAAACUUCCAAUCUAGAGAUCGAGAGAGGUGAGUGGAAUUCCAAGUGUAGAGGUGAAAUUCGUAGAUAUUUGGAGGAACACCAGUGGCGAAGGCGGCUCACUGGCUCGAUACUGACGCUGAGGUACGAAAGCGUGCGGAGCAAACAGGAUUAGAAACCCUAGUAGUCC